UUCUUUAUUUUAAAAAUUUUUUUACUUAAGUAGUGUGAACAUAUAUUAAGUGGCAUAGAAAAUUAUUAUACUUUUUAAUGUUUUAAACUUAAAAGGCUUGGCGGUGUUAUAUAUCCUUCCAGAGGAGUUUGCUUAUUUAUUUGAUAAUCCUCAAUUUAUACUUACUUUUUUUUGAACGGUUAAUCAUCAGUUUGUAUAUUGCUGUCAUCAGUUUAUUUUGUAAAAAUUAUGUAAGAAACUUAAUAAUUAAGAAAUUACUAUGUCAAGUCAAAAUGCAGCUAAUAGAAAAGGUUUAUAAAGUGAACUACAGUUUAUAAUUUUUAAUCGGAUUAGAUUGUGUAAUCGGUUUUUGAAGUUGGAUUUGGUAGUAAUAUUAUAAUAGUGAGUUUUUAUGAAUUAGGUUUUAUAGUGCG
This 413-nucleotide ribosomal RNA is filed under the name Euprymna scolopes. Its description in RNAcentral is "partial 12S ribosomal RNA". Lineage: Eukaryota; Metazoa; Mollusca; Cephalopoda; Sepiida; Sepiolidae. The record is from RNAcentral.